Molecule: ribosomal RNA, 407 nt
Filed under: uncultured bacterium
Lineage: Bacteria
Description: partial 16S ribosomal RNA
Rfam family: Bacterial small subunit ribosomal RNA
Source: RNAcentral
AUUGAACGCUGGCGGCAGGCUUAACACAUGCAAGUCGAGCGGAGCGGCGGACGGGUGAGUAAUGCCUCGGAAUCUGCCUGGUAGUGGGGGAGAACGUCCGGAAACGGGCCCUACUACCGCACACUAUCAGAUGAGCCAAGGUCGGAUUAGCUAGUUGGUGGGGUAAAGGCCUACAAGGGCGACGUGCCGUAACUGGCAGGAGAGGCUGAUCAGUCAAACUGGAAAGGAGACACGAUCCAGACUCCUCCGGGAGGCAGCAGUGGGGAAUAUUGGACAAUGGGCGAAAGCCUGAGCCAGCCAUGCCGCGUGUGUGAAGAAGGUCUUCGGAUUGUAAAGCACUUUAAGUUGGGAGGCGUUCCCAACAGAAUAAGCACCGGCUAACUUCGUGACAGCAGCCGCGGUAAUUC